GGAGCCAGACUGCACAUGCGCCCUGAAGUCCGAGUGACAGCUACCCCAGGCCGGUGGGUGCGGCCCGCGUGAGUUUCAGGAUCUGAAACCAUGGGCAGAAGCACAAAUGGGGAGUCGACUCUCUUUCAUCUGUUGAGUAUAUUUUGUACCAUUCCUUAAUUUUUUUGGAUAUUGUGUGUAUUUCAUUUGUUAAGCCUAUGAAUAAUAGAUGUUAAAAGAAGCAACGUGGGGAGUGCCUGGCUGGCUCAGUUGGUAGAGCAUGCGGCUCUUGAUCUUGGGGUCAUCAGUUCAAGCCUGACAUUGGACACAGAGCUUACAUUUAAAAAAAAAAAAAAGGAGCAAUGUGAGGAUGUGAGGAGAGGGGGUGAGAAGGAUGGUGAAAGAGAGAGAGCACGCAAACACGGGGAGGAGCAGAGGGAGAGGGAGAGUCCCAAGAAGACUCUGGCCCGAGCACUGUACCCCACGUGGAACACCAUACCGAGAUCGUGACCUGAGCCAAAAGUAAGAGCCAGACAUUCAACAGACUGAACCACCCAAGUGCCUCAGCAACCAUUUGCAGAAGUAUCAUUAUCUCUGGUGGGAAACGGAGUCUCCAAGAGGUUCAAGUGGGUGAGCACAUCAAAGUUCUUCCGGUCCCUAACCUUCAAUUAGACACUUUUCUGAAGCGUGAAGCUGGGCUAUACUUGUCAGAACAGACACCAGAGGAGCACCUGGGUGGCUCUGUCAUUAGGUGUCUGCCUUUGGCUCUGGUUGUGAUCCUGGGGUCCUGGGAUUGA
This is a long non-coding RNA of Mustela erminea (ermine), 776 nucleotides long. RefSeq lists it as uncharacterized. The record is from RefSeq and is a predicted model, not a curated record. The transcript is spliced from 4 exons. NCBI's taxonomy places the organism in Eukaryota, Metazoa, Chordata, Mammalia, Carnivora, Mustelidae.